GCCGUUUGCAAACCAUAAUAAGAGACAAUGUUUCGUGUUUUUUUCUCAACAUUUUCAAUAAAAUGUAAUCGACGGAUUUAAUAUGUAAUUAAUUUAAGCAUCCGUUCUUUCAGUACAAUUCUCGCCGAGUAGAUUGAAUUGGCCAAACCGCAGUGUUAAUGAACUUUUAAUUGGUAUUAAUUAUGUUUACAUUGUUUGGCGGUUGUCUAAUGUUUUCAAAAUUCGGUAAUGUGAAGUGAUUAGAUUAUUUGGAAAAAUGAUACAUAUUUACGAUAAAUAUGUAUCGUGUGUGGUUUUCGCGUGUUACUUUCAUGUAUUUUAACUCGAAAUCACCCAACAUGCGAUUAUGAUAGAGAAACAGACACUAUCAUUGUAUCGUUUGUGAUGUGAGAUUUCACAUGAAAAAAGUCUCUCGAAUCAGCGUUGAAAAUUUCUGACUUUGUGGAUUGAUAGGACAUCGUGGACUCGUUACCGCCCGGGUUGUUGGAGGGGCGCCCCGCUGGCAACUCUUUCUUGCUUACAUCUCAACAGUUGCAACAACUGCAGCAACAUCUACAAGCUGCGGCGGUGGCAAGUGCUAGUCAGCAACAUCAGC
Planococcus citri (citrus mealybug) is the source of this 595-nucleotide long non-coding RNA. RefSeq lists it as uncharacterized. Lineage: Eukaryota; Metazoa; Arthropoda; Insecta; Hemiptera; Pseudococcidae. The transcript has 4 exons. The record is from RefSeq and is a predicted model, not a curated record.